ACCCGCCCAACUUAAGCAUAUUAUUAAGCGGAGGAAAAGAAAUUAACAAAGAUUACCUUAGUAAGGGCGACUGAACAGGUAAAAGCCCACACUUAAAAUCGCUGCCGCAAGGCAGAGAAUUGUAGUCUCGAGAAGUAUGCAGAAAUGAACUCAAUAGCAGAAGUUUGUUGGAAAACAGCGACAAAGAGGGUGAAAUCCCCGUACUUGGCUAAAGAGUGAAUGGAAUGCAAACUUUCAUAGAGUCGAGCUUCUUGGGAUUGAAGCUCAAAUCGGGAGAUAAACUUCUUCCAAGGCUAAAUAUGGACGAGAAACCGAUAGCGAACAAGUACUGUGAAGGAAAGAUGAAAAGAACUUUGAAAAGAGGGUUAAAAGACUUGAAACCGUUGAAAAGGAAGCGAUAGAAGCUAAUAAACUGAACAGAAAGAGGGCGUUAGGACAAUGCCGAGAGAACUUCUCAAAGCAUCCGUUUGCGCCAGCUCACCUGGUCAGAAGGCAAAAUGAGUUCCAGGGCCCCGAAUAGCAGCAAUGCGAAGGGAUCCUGGGACUGAGGGAAGUUAUUGAUUUUGCCAAAGUGGCUUUUACCGACCCGUCUCGAAACACGGACCAAGGAGUCUAUCACAUAUGCGAGUCUGCGGGUGUCAAACCCAUAGGCGAAAUGAAAGUAAGAAUGAGAUGCCAAGCGCAAGCAGCAGCAUCGGCCGUCCCCGAUCUUUUGAGAAGGGUAUGAGCAAGAGCAUAUUUGAUAGGACCCGAAAGAUGGUGAACUAUGCUUGAGUAGGGUGAAGCCAGGGGAAACUCUGGUGGAAGCUCGUAGCGGUACUGACGUGCAAAUCGUUCGUCAAACUUGAGUAUAGGGGCGAAAAACCAAUCGAACCAUCUAGUUGCUGGUUCCCUCUGAAGUUUCUCUCAGGAUAGCAAGAACAAUUAUGCAGUUUUAUCAGGUAAAGCGAAUGAUUAGAGGUUCGGGGAACUAAAUGUUCUCCACCUAUUCUCAAACUUUAAAUUGGUAAGAUCCAACAGUUUUCUUAAGUGAACUGGGGGGUAGAAUGCGUGUUCUUAGUGGGCCAUUUUUGGUAAGCAGAACUGGCGAUGAGGGAUGCUCCUAAAGUUGAGUUAAGGCGCCAAAACCGUAAUCAUCAGACACCAUGAAAGGCGUUGAUUCAUUUAGACAGCAGGACGGUGACCCUAAGAGCAGGUAUCCGCUAAGGAGUGCUUCCCGCUCACCUGCCGAAUGAAUCAGCCCUGAAAAUGGAUGGCGCUAUAUUACGGUGCCGAUACUCGACCAUUUGGGUAAAAAGAGACUCAAAUGAGUAAGAGGGCGUGGGCAUAGUGUCGAAGCUGAGACGAAAGUCAAAGUGAAACUGUGUCUAGUGCAGAUCUUGGUGGUAGUAGCAAUUAUUCAAAUGAGAACUUUGAAGGCCGAAGUGGAGAAGGGUUCCAUGAAAACAGUACUUGGUCAUGGGUUACUCGAUCCUAAGGCAAUGCGGAAACGCAUGGAAUGCAUGGUAUUAACCAUGAAGCCGAAAGGGAAUGAGGUUAAUAUUCCUCAAGCUGGUCGUGGAUUUUGUGUGGUAACACAAAUGAACUUGGAGACGUCGGCAUGACCCCCUGGAAGAGUUAUCUUUUCUUCUUAACUGACUCAAGCCGUGGAAUUGGAUUAUUCAGAGAUACGGCCUAAACCAGGUAGAGCAGUUCACCAUCCGGACUGUCAGGUGCGUUCAUGACGACC
This 1729-nucleotide ribosomal RNA is filed under the name Ephelota gemmipara. Its description in RNAcentral is "LSU rRNA". It matches the Rfam family "Eukaryotic large subunit ribosomal RNA", at positions 23 to 1803 of the family's 3401-position model. Lineage: Eukaryota; Ciliophora; Phyllopharyngea; Exogenida; Ephelotidae. The record is from RNAcentral.